RNAcentral lists this ribosomal RNA (253 nucleotides) under uncultured bacterium. Its description in RNAcentral is "partial 16S ribosomal RNA". It matches the Rfam family "Bacterial small subunit ribosomal RNA", at positions 524 to 776 of the family's 1533-position model. The record is from RNAcentral.
UACAGAGGGUGCGAGCGUUAAUCGGAAUUACUGGGCGUAAAGCGUGCGUAGACGGCUAUCUAAGUCGGGUGUGAAAGCCCCGGGCUCAACCUGGGAAUUGCAUUCGAGACUGCAUUGCUGGAGUACGGAAGAGGAGGGCGGAAUUCCCGGUGUAGCGGUGAAAUGCGUAGAUAUCGGGAGGAACAUCAGUGGCGAAGGCGGCCCUCUGGUCCAGUACUGACACUCAAGUGCGAAAGCGUGGGGAGCAAACAGG